Molecule: long non-coding RNA, 629 nt
Organism: Salvia miltiorrhiza (redroot sage)
Lineage: Eukaryota; Viridiplantae; Streptophyta; Magnoliopsida; Lamiales; Lamiaceae
Exons: 2
Source: RefSeq, a predicted model, not a curated record
GGGCUUGUUUUGUAGCCAAGUAGUGGGCAUAUUGCAAUCCAAACUUGGGUAUUUUAUUAGUUUGGUAGCCAUUUAUCCGAAUACUGAGGCCCGCUCUUAAAAGACGGCCCGCACCAAAAAGCACUGUUCCUCUACGUAAUUGAAACCCGGGGUCACCCUCGGUUCUAUUUCCAGGUGUGCUACAGUGGUAGCUGCUAUUUUGAUGUGUACAAUUUUACCCACUAUUUCAAAGUAAAAAAAAAAAUCAAACUUUCAUUUCUCUCUCUCGUUUUUUGUUCUGCUCGACGAACUUGUGUUCUUCGCAGAGGGACGAACAAGAAGCAAAGUCACAGAUCCUUGUCUAUAGCUGCCUCAUCCGGCCGUGGGGAUAGCAAAGUCGCCGUAUCGUUUCUUUGGUUUCUAGAAAUCGGAAGGCUUCAAUUGUCAACAAAAGGAUAUUCUGGUAAUUUACAAAAAAAAAAAAAUCAGGGAUAGAAUAGUAAAUUUACAGACUUUUCACUUUCUUAAGAAAGACUACCAAAUAUCCCCCGUGGGUUUGCUUAUUUUUUUCAAUAUCUACCAAACAUCAUUCCCCAAUUAGUAAUCUGGCAUCUUUAGCAUUAUGGACUAAACUAUAUUCUGCUACAAAA